GCGCACGUGGCGAAACUGGUAGACGCGCAGCCUUGAGGGGGCUGUAAACGCAAGUUUGUGGAAGUUCGAAUCUUCUCGUGCGCACUA
This 87-nucleotide transfer RNA is filed under the name Polaribacter dokdonensis DSW-5. Its description in RNAcentral is "tRNA-Leu". It matches the Rfam family "tRNA". From Rfam's summary of the family: Transfer RNA (tRNA) molecules are approximately 80 nucleotides in length. Their secondary structure includes four short double-helical elements and three loops (D, anti-codon, and T loops). Further hydrogen bonds mediate the characteristic L-shaped molecular structure. tRNAs have two regions of fundamental functional importance: the anti-codon, which is responsible for specific mRNA codon recognition, and the 3' end, to which the tRNAs corresponding amino acid is attached (by aminoacyl-tRNA synthetases). tRNAs cope with the degeneracy of the genetic code in two manners: having more than one tRNA (with a specific anti-codon) for a particular amino acid; and 'wobble' base-pairing, i.e. permitting non-standard base-pairing at the 3rd anti-codon position. Lineage: Bacteria; Pseudomonadati; Bacteroidota; Flavobacteriia; Flavobacteriales; Flavobacteriaceae. The record is from RNAcentral.